CUUUGAUGUGAUGUUAUGUGAAUUUACGUGACUGAGUGAUUAUGUGAUUUUGUGACGUGUGUCAUUAUGACCAAGUGAUUAUGAUUUUUAUUUGAGACCUUAGCACUUGGAAUUUUUAUUAAGUUUACAAAGCAAGUGCAGUUUAUUUUUAUCGAGAAAUCGAAUGAUGCCGGUUUAUGAAAAUUUUUCCGAGCAUAAUAUUUUUUUUAAUUAUUUUCCUUCCUACGAAGAGGAAUAUUAUAUAUAUGUGAGUGCACUAAUAUGAGUGCUAUAAUUAUUAUUUUGGUCACAUGAAUAUUUAUGAUGUGGUAUUUUAUUAAUGAGUGACUUUACCAUAGUUUUGUGAUUUUAUUUGAUCACCUUUCACACACUUUAUUUAAUUACCCAUACCAUAUGUUAUAUGCCUAAAUUUUGCUAAGUAUAGAAUUGAGAGAGUAGAGAAUUGAGAGUAUGAGAUGGAGAGUGUAGAGAUUAGAGAGAGAUUAGAGUGAGAGAGAGAUCAUCCAUUAAUUACUAAAUAUUCCCUAAGAUUUACAAAUCUCUUUAAAGAUACACAAGAUCAUCCAAAUCAAAUACAAUCUUGCAAAAGUUUCCUCUCUCUUCUCCACCCCAUUUUCGGUCAUCUCUCUCCCUCCCUUCAUCUCUCUACUUUCCUCCAUUGUUAGCCAUAGAUGAGACCUCCGAAGCUCUACCAAAGUAUGCCAAACACAUAAAUCACUACUUAAAUCCUCCAUAAACACUUCCAUCUCCUUAAAUUCAAGAGAAUCCUUGAAGAUUGGUUUCAAGAAUAGUGAGAGAAAAUUUGGAUAAUUGGUGAAAACUUGGACACGAGCAGAGCAAGGAAGUAAGUAACUCCACUUUGACGGGAGUUUUUGAGUAAGGUCUUCAGGCUAAGCUAGGAGUGAGAUUGGUCUGGUGCUGGUGGGGGAUCGUUAGAUGACGUAUUUGCUUUAUCGUAUUUCCUUUUUAUCGAUAAAGUCUUGAUGUGAAGUUACUUUGAAUAUGAAUCAAGUAAUAUACUCACGGUUAUGUGUCUCCAUACAUGUAACUGGUUCGCCUUUUUCUGCGAUACUCUGCAUAUUAUGUUCCUUAUGAAAAAUAAGCUAUACCUGUUUUGUUUUUGUUCGUGAAAUUCCUGAUAAUUAAAAAGUUACAAUGACGUUGACGA
Molecule: long non-coding RNA, 1168 nt
Organism: Salvia miltiorrhiza (redroot sage)
Lineage: Eukaryota; Viridiplantae; Streptophyta; Magnoliopsida; Lamiales; Lamiaceae
Exons: 3
Source: RefSeq, a predicted model, not a curated record